This is a non-coding RNA of Cajanus cajan (pigeon pea), 505 nucleotides long. Lineage: Eukaryota; Viridiplantae; Streptophyta; Magnoliopsida; Fabales; Fabaceae. The record is from RefSeq and is a predicted model, not a curated record.
GAGUUGUUAGAAGAAUGCUGAUGAAGUCAUUCUCUAUGUUGUUUCCUUGUUACUUCUGCUCCUCAAAUCUUCUAUUACCAUUUAUCACAAAUUUCCAGUUGCUAAUGCAGAUUUUGAUCUUUCAUGUGCACUUGUAGGUGGUGCUGGACUUGGAUGAAACACUGGUAUGUGCAUAUGAGACAUCAAGUUUGCCAGCUGCUCUACGGACUCAAGCAAUUGAAGGUGGUUUGAAUUGGUUUGAGCUGGAAUGUGUAUCGAUAGACAAGGAAGGAGAAGCCAAACCAAAAAUCAAUUAUGUUACAGUAUUUGAACGCCCUGGGUUGAAGGAAUUCUUAAAAAAAACUCAGUGAAUUUGCUGAAUUGGUGCUGUUUACUGCUCUGGUCUUGAAGGUUUGUUCCAAAAUAUUAAGCUGCUGCACUUGUGUGUAUUCAUCUUUUGGAAAUUAUGUUUGACAUUUCUGAACAUGACAUGCCCCUGAAUUAAUAUUAUAAUUCAUUUAAUCUU